This 502-nucleotide ribosomal RNA is filed under the name uncultured bacterium. RNAcentral describes it as "partial 16S ribosomal RNA". It matches the Rfam family "Bacterial small subunit ribosomal RNA", at positions 28 to 507 of the family's 1533-position model. The record is from RNAcentral.
GACGAACGCUGGCGGCGUGCCUAAUACAUGCAAGUCGAACGAACCGCGACUAGGUGCUUGCACUUGGUCAAGGUGAGUGGCGAACGGGUGAGUAACACGUGGGUAACCUACCUCAUAGUGGGGGAUAACAGUCGGAAACGACUGCUAAUACCGCAUAGGACAUAGGAUCACAUGAUUCUGUGAGGAAGGGUGGCGCAAGCUAUCGCUAAGAGAUGGACCCGCGGUGCAUUAGCUAGUUGGUAGGGUAAAGGCCUACCAAGGCGAUGAUGCAUAGCCGACCUGAGAGGGUGAUCGGCCACAUUGGGACAGAGACACGGCCCAAACUCCUACGGGAGGCAGCAGUAGGGAAUCUUCCGCAAUGGACGCAAGUCUGACGGAGCAACGCCGCGUGAGUGAAGAAGGUCUUCGGAUCGUAAAGCUCUGUUGUUAGAGAAGAACAGCGCAUAGAGUAACUGUUAUGCGUGUGACGGUAUCUAACCAGAAAGCCACGGCUAACUACGUG